GACGAACGCUGGCGGCGUGCUUAACACAUGCAAGUCGAACGGCAAGGCACUGCUUUCGUGGGGUGCCCGAGUGGCGAACGGGGGAGUAACACGAGUGUAACCUGCUCUAGACUUUGGGGGAACUUAAGGAAAGUGGGGUUAAUACAGGACAGCAGACGACGUAGGAUGGAGGGGGUUGGAAAGUCUCGGCGGUCGGGGAUGGACUGGCGGCUGAUGAGCUAGUUGGUGGGGGAGGGGCAGACCAAGGAUUUGACCGGUAGGCGGCCUGGGAGGGUGAACGGCCACAAUGGUACUGCGAGAGGGCCCAGUCGCCUACGGGGGGCAACAGGGGGGAAUAUUGCACAAUGAGCGGAAGCCUGAGGCAGCAACGCCGCGGGCGGGAUGACGGCCUUCUGGUUGUAAACCGCUUUCGCCUAUUACGAAGCGGUUGUGACGGUAAUGAGUAAAUAAGCACCGGCUAACUACGUG
This 468-nucleotide ribosomal RNA is filed under the name uncultured bacterium. RNAcentral's name for it is "partial 16S ribosomal RNA". It matches the Rfam family "Bacterial small subunit ribosomal RNA", at positions 28 to 507 of the family's 1533-position model. The record is from RNAcentral.